UCUGCACAAUCUUCCGAAACUACAAAAAACAAAAUAACUUCAGAGUUCUGGAAACCAUAAGGACACACACUGCUGAUUGUGGUCACCAUUUUCAAGCACUCACUGAGUAUCCCUUUCUUAGGAUUUACUGAAAGAAAAAACUCUGUUAAAUGGUGCAUUCUCAGUCCUUUGACUUUGAUCAUUAUCUGUCUGUAUGAGAAUCUUCCGGAUGAUGUGAAGCGUCCAGUCCUGCCCUGCGUCUGGCCUUUGGCUUUGGCCGCUGAUAUCAAGGCUGAGGUUGACCGCUGGUUUGACAACAGACUGAGGAACUACCUGAAGUUCCUCAACAGAAACCUGCUCCAGUCCUCUGACACACUCAACGCCUCCUGCUUACCCUUCAGGAGACUGUAAGCUACCACACUGGAAAUACCUUACAUUUGCUGAUGCUGUUACACAGAUAUAUCUACAUCAUUUAAAGUGAAUAAAAGGAAGAAAAGGUUGAUGACUGGGAUUCAAGCUCACUUUCAUUGGCUCAGCCAUAACUCAAGAUGAUGCGUACAGCACCAUAAAGACCUACCUCAACAUAGGAAGCUCAGCAGCACCCAAGUGUUAUAGUCCCUCUGACCCAAAUCUCAACUCCACCACCUGACCUGGUUCCUUAACUACAUUGGUGUGUUCAUCACCUUUGUGACCAUUGAAGACUUCAACACAUUUGGCUCAGAGUCAACGCUAAAACUAUUUGCCGUGAACCCUGUCAACAUUGAGUUGUUCAAUUUCACCGGAGCUCCUCAAAAUCUGACGAAACGCUUUACUGAGCUUAUCUUCCUGCAGAACUCCAACUUCCUCCCACUGCAGCUUCCACCAGACUUACAAUGUUUUGUCCCAGCUUCAGCUUACUCUAAGCUCAAUGAGUCAGAGAGUGUGGUUGUCCUGUGCAACCUGAACCAUUCCUGUACUAACGUGGACUCAGAGAUUUCUUCCGCACUGGCAUCGAAUAUCCAAAUUCAUCCGGGAUCAAAGUCCGGGAUCAAUCACGGCCCUGGGCCCGCAGGUCACAAGUCUGAACACUGGACAGAUCACUAAAGCCCCGCCCAGUGUGAUUUUACAAUCCCUGAGUACUCUGAGUAGUGUUUCUGGAUGGAACUUGGGACAGUCCUUGUCCAUCAUACAGAUUCUCAUCACCCAAAACUUCCAGUUGAUUCACUUCUUAAUAGGUUUAUUGCUAGUGGCCUAUUGGUUGUGAGCAUCAUUCACAACCAUGAUUCAUGCUUUAAACCAUUCCAUCCUCUCUACUUCCAAUGUAGAGGAUAUUUCAUAAUUUAAUGUUCUCUUUCUUUAGAUAAACAAUACCGACAGUCUAAUAAACCUGGGCUCUUUAGUGGGAGGUCUUCCAACCCAAACACUCACCGCAAUACCCGAGCAGCAGGUUCUGACAACAUCCGCCUACCCAAAAUGUGUUACCAACAUGCUGACUGCUCCAACAAUUGUGCAGCAGAUCUAUGUUAAUAAGAUCAUCAGUCGACAUGAAACCAACGGAACUGAUAGUCAAUGUCCCAGAUGAAAUGGCAACUGACAUUCCCAGCAAUCUACUGAAUUUCCCAACAACUGGAAAUCAAACUCACUGCUCUGAACAUCAACAAGAAAAAAUGGAAACCUCAGCAGGCGUACCCCAAAGGCCUCUCAGACCAGCAGGUUCAGGUGCUUGGGUCAGUGUCUCGCGUGGCUUCCAUGGAGCAGAUUAACAAGUGGAACAUCACUACAGUGGACACACUAGCAGCACUGAUGGACAAUGGCAAUGGAGAAUGGGACUCCGACAAAGCCAAAGUUAUUGUCACCAAGUUCUUAAAUGCUGGCAAUUCGCUUGGAGCCUCUGAAUUUAAUUCAAUUGGAGGGCCUAACCUGUGCGCACUGGACCUCAGUGUGUUGCAAGGCAUCAGAAAUGACAGUCUCCGAGAUGCAGAUGCUCUGGAAAUCACUAGCUGUUCCUCAGCACAUAAGAAGGCCUUCUUUGCAGUAGCUGAGAUCGCCUUUCCUAUCAACUUCAUCCAAACCUACGCCACUGCAGGAGGUGCCAUUAUCACCUACAUACGGAGUCUGUCUAGGGUGAAUAUUAGCAUGGACAUCAACACUUUUAUUGGUUUGGAUUCAGCUGCUGUCCAGGCUCGUAGUGUGAGUGAAGUGUCUGGACUCCUCGGCUCCAACCUAAAUUGACUGAAAACCUUUGAGAAUACCACUGUAAUGCAGAAUUGGGUGUCAAAGCAGUUAGUCUGAGCUUGACAAGCUGGGUAUCAGUCUGACCGGAGGAAGGGUGGAUUCAAACACCACCCCCAUGACAACAAAUACUGCCACCACCAUCAAAAAUACAACUUCCAGCCAGAGCAGAGGCACAUAUCCAGCUUGUCUGCUUUUCCUGUUUGGUCUCUUGUUCAUUGCAGUGCAAAUGUAGAUUAUAAUAUUGCAAGAGAAGCUUUAUAAUUUAGACCAAAUUGCAUAAUUAUACAUUUACAUUACAUUUAAGUCAUUUAGCAGACGCUCUUAUCCAGAGCGACUUACAAAUUGGUGCAUUCACCUUAUGACAUCCAGUGGAACAGCCACUUUACAA
Molecule: RNA transcript, 2581 nt
Organism: Oncorhynchus keta (chum salmon)
Lineage: Eukaryota; Metazoa; Chordata; Actinopteri; Salmoniformes; Salmonidae
Gene name: mesothelin-like protein
Exons: 12
Source: RefSeq, a predicted model, not a curated record